RNAcentral lists this ribosomal RNA (253 nucleotides) under uncultured bacterium. RNAcentral describes it as "partial 16S ribosomal RNA". It matches the Rfam family "Bacterial small subunit ribosomal RNA", at positions 524 to 776 of the family's 1533-position model. The record is from RNAcentral.
UACGUAGGGUGCGAGCGUUGUCCGGAAUUAUUGGGCGUAAAGGGCUCGUAGGCGGCCAACUAAGUCAGACGUGAAAUCCCUCGGCUUAACCGGGGAACUGCAUCUGAUACUGGAUGGCUUGAGUUCGGGAGAGGGAUGCGGAAUUCCAGGUGUAGCGGUGAAAUGCGUAGAUAUCUGGAGGAACACCGGUGGCGAAGGCGGCAUCCUGGACCGACACUGACGCUGAGGGGCGAAAGCCAGGGGAGCAAACGGG